UGGGGAAUAUUGGACAAUGGGCGCAAGCCUGAUCCAGCAAUGCCGCGUGUGUGAAGAAGGCCUUCGGGUUGUAAAGCACUUUUAUCAGGAGCGAAACGCUGUCGGCUAAUACCCGGCGGAACUGACGGUACCUGAGGAAUAAGCACCGGCUAACUUCGUGCCAGCAGCCGCGGUAGUACGAAGGGUGCAAGCGUUAAUCGGAAUUACUGGGCGUAAAGCGUGCGUAGGCGGUUUCUUAAGUCUGCUGUGAAAUCCCCGGGCUCAACCUGGGAAUGGCAGUGGAUACUGGGAGGCUAGAGUGUGUCAGAGGGUGGUGGAAUUCCCGGUGUAGCGGUGAAAUGCGUAGAGAUCGGGAGGAACAUCAGUGGCGAAGGCGGCCACCUGGGACAACACUGACGCUGAGGCACGAAAGCGUGGGGAGCAAACAGGAUUAGAUACCCUGGUAGUCCACGCCCUAAACGAUGCGAACUGGAUGUUGGUCUCAACUCGGAGAUCAGUGUCGAAGCUAACGCGUUAAGUUCGCCGCCUGGGGAGUACGGUCGCAAGACUGAAACUCAAAGGAAUUGACGGGGUCAUAGCUGUUUCCUG
Molecule: ribosomal RNA, 588 nt
Filed under: uncultured bacterium
Lineage: Bacteria
Description: partial 16S ribosomal RNA
Rfam family: Bacterial small subunit ribosomal RNA
Source: RNAcentral